RNAcentral lists this ribosomal RNA (626 nucleotides) under uncultured cyanobacterium. Its description in RNAcentral is "bacterial SSU rRNA". It matches the Rfam family "Bacterial small subunit ribosomal RNA", at positions 124 to 785 of the family's 1533-position model. Lineage: Bacteria; Bacillati; Cyanobacteriota. The record is from RNAcentral.
GCCUGCCUCAGAUUGGGGAAACAGUUGGAACGACUGCUAAUACCCAAUGAGCCUUAGGGUAAAAGAUUUAUCGUCUGGAGAGGAGCUCGCGUCCGAUUAGCUAGUUGGUGGGGUAAAAGCUUACCACGGCAGCGAUCGGUAGCUGGUCUGAGAGGAUGAGCAGCCACACUGGGACUGAGACACGGCCCAGACUCCUACGGGAGGCAGCAGUGGGGAAUUUUCCGCAAUGGGCGCAAGCCUGACGGAGCAAUACCGCGUGAGGGAGGAAGGCUUUUGGGUUGUAAACCUCUUUUCUCAAGGAAGAACUCAAUGACGGUACUUGAGGAAUCAGCAUCGGCAAACUCCGUGCCAGCAGCCGCGGUAAUACGGAGGAUGCAAGCGUUAUCCGGAAUUAUUGGGCGUAAAGCGUCCGCAGGUGGUUAUUCAAGUCUGCUGUCAAAGACCUCAGCUUAACUGUGGGCAGGCAGUGGAAACUGGGUAACUAGAGUACGGUAGGGGUAGAGGGAAUUUCCAGUGUAGCGGUGAAAUGCGUAGAGAUUGGAAAGAACACCAGUGGCGAAGGCGCUCUACUGGGCCGUAACUGACACUCAGGGACGAAAGCUAGGGGAGCGAAUGGGAUUAGAUCC